CAGCGUCGGUCCCGCCAGCUAAGAUGGAGACAACCAGGAGGGACGUGAAGGCCUGGAAGCGUGCCUGGAGUCUGCAGAGCAUCUGUUCCUCUGUAUGAGGCCCUGGGGCCUUCAACCUGUUUCUGAAGAGCUACUUCUCCGCCACACAGCCCACAAUAGCUGGCGGUGGACGGGGCCUGAUGCCCAUGGUCCCAGGAGCCUGACCCGCACGGCCUGGCUGGUUGCCCACGCAGGGCACUCUUCUCAUCUGGGUCCCCUCUGGCUGCGACUAGUCCCUCGCAAUGUUAUGACUCUUCCUCCUGCCGUCCCGACCUGGCCUGCAAAAGUAAAACCAACUAUGUAAACAGCACUCAGAUCAAGAUACAGAACAUCACCAGCCCUCCAGAAACCUUCCUCAUAGUUUCUCAUGAUUCUCCCAAUCGUUAUUUCUCCCUUCUCAAAGGUAAGUAACUACUCUGCAUACCUCAC
Long non-coding RNA from Bos taurus (domestic cattle), 468 nucleotides. The record is from Ensembl. NCBI's taxonomy places the organism in Eukaryota, Metazoa, Chordata, Mammalia, Artiodactyla, Bovidae.